UUUAAAGUUGAUUUCCAAAGUAACAACUUAUAGGUUAGUGAAAAGAAAUAGGUUAAUCGUUCACAAUGUAUAAACAAUAGGUAAACAUUUUGUAAAUUAUAAUUUUUAUUUCUUCAUUUAUUUCCGCUAUGAUAAGGAACAAAAGAUACAGAUUUUCCAUGGUAAUCUCUAUGAAUAUCGGUCUAAAUGUAAUAAUCUUCUUCUACUACGAUAAGUAACAGUGGAUCCUAUAUAAUAACAUAUCAGCAUUGAGUAAAUUUCAAUUUAUAGAAGUGCACUUUGUUAAAAAAGAAAUUAGUUUUUUACUGUGCUCCAUAAAAAUGGAGAAGCAAGUUGUAGUGUCGGAGAAGAAAUCAUGUUUAGUAGACAUGAAACAACGAUUCGACGAUGAACUGUCCAAAAUUCGAGUUAAUGCUGCAAGAAACAGUUUUUUCUUAACCGAAACUACUUACCAGAAGUUAAUAAAUGAUGUACAAAAAGCCAAAGUAGCUUCUAAGAAGGAACCAAGGGAUUAUAAGUUGCUGAAUCGUUAUGAUGUGAUAACCGUAGAAAAAAAAAAUAAACUCAUUUAUCCUAUUAAAGAAGGUUUCAGUACUAUACAGUAUUAUGUCACGGACUCAGAGUUAUUUCACGUACUUCAUGAAGCUCAUUUGGCUAUUGGACAUGGAGGACGUGAUAGAAUGAUGAAAGAACUUUCAACCAAAUACAAAAAUGUUACACGUCACGAUAUUGAACUGUACAUUCACCUUUGUGAACCUUGCCAGAAAAAACAGAAAGGUAUUAAAAGAGGCAUUGUUGUAAAACAUCCUCUGAUGUGUUCCGAGUUUAAUUCCCGUUGUCAGGUAGAUCUUAUUGACUUUCAGUCUCAGCCAGAUAGAGAAUACAAAUUUAUUAUGGUGUAUCAAGAUCAUCUCACAAAAUUUGUGAUUCUUAAGUCUCUAACGUCAACAAAAGCUGAAGAAGUAGCCAAUAACCUAGUGGACAUAUUCUUGUUGCUUGGAGCACCAUCAAUAUUACAGUCUGACAAUGGUAGAGAAUUUACCAAUAAUGUGCUAAUCAGCUUGAAGAAGUUUUGGCCAGCACUGAAGAUCGUCCAUGGGGAGCCUUGCCAUUCACUAAGCCAGGGUAAUGUCAAAAAAGCUAAUCAAGAUAUCAUAAAUAUGCUCUGUACUUGGAUGCAGGACAACAAAUGUGGCCGAUGGAGUGAAGGACUGCGUUUUGUUCAAUUUAUGAAAAAUAGAGCUUAUCAUUUUGGGAUUAAAAAAACACCAUACGAAGCUCUUUUUGGCUGUAAAUCUAAAAUGGGGCUUACAACAUCUUCUCUACCAGAAGAUAUUUUAAAAGACAUAAAUACAGAGGAGCAGUUAGAAAGAGUAAUAGAAAGCAUCCAAACAAUGGAAAAAGGUGAAACUAAUCAGAUUAUCCAAAAAAAAGAGCCUGUCUUAGAAAACAUGGAAGAGAUUAAUGUCGAAAGUGGAUUAAACCAACAUGAUGAAGUCAUGAUUACCAAAGAGAUUUCCAUUUCUGAGACCUGUUAUAUGUGUUUAAAGGAAACAAAUGAUGUACUUGCAUGCAAAAAGUGUCAUCAAAAAAUUCAUACCUUCUGUGGCCAUGCUAGUAAAGACAAUGAAAACGAUAUUUUGUGCCCCUUUUGUUUCACAAUUGAAAAUGGUAAUGAAGGUAAAAUAAAUUCUAAAAUCAAAGUGGAAGUAGAAGCAAAAAGAAUGAAAAUGAAUUAGAAAAAACAAUUUUCUACUGUUUCUUUGGGAAUUACUGUGCGAAUUCCAAUUCCUGACGUUAACAAGCGGCGAGGUGAUUCGCCCUGAAAUAUAUUGACAGAUGUAAUGAGUGUGAUAGAUUUCUAUUGACUUGGAACUUCUAAAGGAAUUUUAAAAUAAGUAAAUGCGAGAUCACAAUUCACUUUAUGCCCUAAGAACUUGCUUAGAAUUGAAGAUAUUCCUGAUCAUAAAAUUCCUUUCCGGGCAGUUGCAAUUGUUCAGUCUAGUGGAAGCAGCCAAAGAUUCGUUAAAUGUAUGUGUAAAAAAAAGUGCCAAACUAUCAACUAUCUUUGCAUGAAAAAUGUAAUGAAAUGUAAUUUAAAAUGUCAUUCAAGCCUACCAUGUUGCAACAAGAAUGCACGUGUAGAGAUACGUAGUGCACUGGUCGGCGGUCCGUUAUCUUUUCAAGAAAGCCCAAAGAUCAACAGAAGGAGAUCCCCUUUAUCGUUUCUCUUUUCGGCAAGCUUGAUCAGCUGAUCGUUUGUGUGCGCGCGCAUGUUGCCCGAUAAUGUAUUCUUCUCAACAUUGCAUCAAAUAAAUAGCAUUUGGUAUUCUGUAGAAUGCUUAAAUAUUAUAUACGAUGUCUAGGAUUAUGUACAAUUAUUGUGUAACAAUUCUUCUGUUUCCAACAUUGCCUAAUAAAAACGCCAGGCAUUGUAAAUAAAAUAAAUUUCCUACUUUGCCGAGAA
Molecule: unclassified non-coding RNA, 2467 nt
Filed under: Polistes fuscatus (common paper wasp)
Lineage: Eukaryota; Metazoa; Arthropoda; Insecta; Hymenoptera; Vespidae
Description: d-aspartate oxidase, transcript variant X2
Source: RNAcentral